CCCACUUGUUGCAUAGAGAACGCGCAUGCCCGGCAUGCAGCCCAGAUUCCUCUCAGCCUUUUCCCCUCCUCCCCCUUUUCCCCGCCCUCCCCGGACUCUUGUGUGUAUAACAGCUGAAGCAAUGCAAGUUAAUGCUGGAAAUCAAGUGAAGAAAUACCCAGGGCUAUGUUUGGAAAUUAAACAGAAGAUGAUCUUUCUCUCCCCUCCCUUCCCCAGCCGAUGCCCGGCUUUCCAAUGUGAAAAUGCAUUCAGGAAACAUGCAUCAUUCCCCCCCGCCUCAGUGGCCCAGCAGAUGCUGAGUCGUGAAACCAGGGAGCUGUGUCACCUGGGCUUUUUGUAUAGUUGAAGGGUGCUGGAGAGGCCAAACAGGGCUGGGGUUACGCAAGAGCCACUCGAGCGUGAAAUCCCAGCACUAACACGGGCUCGCAGCAGGACCUGCGAUCUGAAAAUCAGGAAGAGAGGAGCCUGUGCCUCCGAAAUCUGCCAAGCCAGGCUGCGUGCUAGCGGAGCGGGGGCUCUCGGGGGGUAAAGUCGGCUGGAAGGAGAAAAUGAAAUCUUGAUGGUGGCGCUGGCCGUGCAGCUGCAAGAGAAGAUCAAAUCUCUGACUACAUUCUUCCGGGGGAGGGGGCCAAGUGAGGGAGGGGGAAAGAAAGGGGUGUCGUGUCUGGUUCCUGCCUCUCGGUCCUCCCUUCCCAGCUUCCUCCCCUUGCCACUUUGCCAGGGCAUCAGGGGAAACCAGAGUUGUCCUCAGCAAAAGCUGGUGUGUUUACUUAGAUCUGGAAAUAAAGAAAUCCUGGAAUGAG
Molecule: long non-coding RNA, 803 nt
Organism: Vombatus ursinus (common wombat)
Lineage: Eukaryota; Metazoa; Chordata; Mammalia; Diprotodontia; Vombatidae
Exons: 3
Source: RefSeq, a predicted model, not a curated record